Non-coding RNA from Salmo salar (Atlantic salmon), 619 nucleotides. Lineage: Eukaryota; Metazoa; Chordata; Actinopteri; Salmoniformes; Salmonidae. The record is from RefSeq and is a predicted model, not a curated record.
AGUACCAUGAUGCAGUUCGCCAGUCUCGCGAGAUAUGAGUACCGCUGGUCUCGCCCCUGUAUUAUAGUUGUGGAAACCCCGAGCGCUCUUCCUUUCUCACCAUGGCACCGAAGGCGAAGAAGGAAGCUGUCCCAGCCAAGACCGAGGCCAAGGUGAAAGCCCUAAAGGCCAAGAAGGCUGUUCUGAAAGGAGUCCACAGCCAGAGGAAGAAGAAGAUAAGAACCUCUCCGACCUUCCGCCGCCCCAAAACCCUGCGCCUCCGCAGACAACCCAAGUACCCCCGGAAGAGCGCCCCUCGCAGGAAUAAGUUGGACCACUAUGCCAUCAUUAAGUUCCCUCUGACGACAGAGUCUGCCAUGAAGAAGAUCGAGGACAACAACACCCUCGUCUUCAUCGUAGACAUCAAGGCCAACAAGCACCAGAUCAAACACGCCGUCAAGAAGCUGUACGACAUCGAUGUGGCCAAGGUCAACACGCUCAUCAGGCCUGAUGGUGAGAAGAAGGCAUACGUACGCCUGGCUCCAGAUUACGAUGCGCUGGAUGUGGCCAACAAGAUUGGCAUCAUCUAGAUGGCGGCUGGGGGAGAUGUACAGAGGAAUAAAAUGUUCAUAAAAACACA